Molecule: ribosomal RNA, 432 nt
Filed under: uncultured bacterium
Lineage: Bacteria
Description: partial 16S ribosomal RNA
Rfam family: Bacterial small subunit ribosomal RNA
Source: RNAcentral
AACGAACGCUGGCGGCAUGCCUAACACAUGCAAGUCGAACGAUCCCUUCGGGGAUAGUGGCGCACGGGUGCGUAACGCGUGGGAGCCUGCCCUUAGGUUCGGAAUAACUCAGAGAAAUUUGAGCUAAUACCGGAUAAUGUCUUCGGACCAAAGAUUUAUCGCCUUUGGAUGGGCCCGCGUUGGAUUAGCUAGUUGGUGGGGUAAAGGCCUACCAAGGCGACGAUCCAUAGCUGGUCUGAGAGGAUGAUCAGCCACACUGGGACUGAGACACGGCCCAGACUCCUACGGGAGGCAGCAGUGGGGAAUAUUGGACAAUGGGCGAAAGCCUGAUCCAGCAAUGCCGCGUGAGUGAUGAAGGCCUUAGGGUUGUAAAGCUCUUUUACCCGGGAUGAUAAUGACAGUACCGGGAGAAUAAGCCCCGGCUAACUCCGU